Molecule: ribosomal RNA, 255 nt
Filed under: uncultured bacterium
Lineage: Bacteria
Description: partial 16S ribosomal RNA
Rfam family: Bacterial small subunit ribosomal RNA
Source: RNAcentral
UACGUAGGGUACAAGCAUUAAUCGGAAUGAUUGGGCGUAAAGGGCGCGUAGGCGGCAAAGUAAGUCAGAUGUGAAAUUCCAAAGCUCAACUUUGGAGCUGCAUUUGAAACUGCUAUGCUAAAGAGGUAAGACGGAGAAAGCGGAAUUCCACGUGUAGCGGUGAAAUGCGUAGAUAUGUGGAGGAACACCUGUGGCGAAAGCGGCUUUCUAGUUUUAACCUGACGCUGAGGCGCGAGAGCAAGGGGAGCAAACAGG